GUGGGGAAUAUUGGACAAUGGGCGAAAGCCUGAUCCAGCAAUGCCGCGUGAGUGAAGAAGGCCUUAGGGUUGUAAAGCUCUUUUACCCGGGAAGAUAAUGACUGUACCGGGAGAAUAAGCCCCGGCUAACUCCGUGCCAGCAGCCGCGGUAAUACGGAGGGGGCUAGCGUUGUUCGGAAUUACUGGGCGUAAAGCGUACGUAGGCGGCUUUGUAAGUUAGAGGUGAAAGCCCAGGGUUCAACCCUGGAACUGCCUUUAAGACUGCAAGGCUUGAACACGGGAGAGGUGAGUGGAAUUCCGAGUGUAGAGGUGAAAUUCGUAGAUAUUCGGAAGAACACCAGUGGCGAAGGCGGCUCACUGGACCGUUGUUGACGCUGAGGUACGAAAGCGUGGGGAGCAAACAGG
Molecule: ribosomal RNA, 405 nt
Filed under: uncultured Sphingomonas sp.
Lineage: Bacteria; Pseudomonadati; Pseudomonadota; Alphaproteobacteria; Sphingomonadales; Sphingomonadaceae
Description: bacterial SSU rRNA
Rfam family: Bacterial small subunit ribosomal RNA
Source: RNAcentral